RNAcentral lists this ribosomal RNA (628 nucleotides) under Mydaea ancilla. Its description in RNAcentral is "partial 12S ribosomal RNA". The stretch from base 1 to 387 matches the Rfam family "Microsporidia small subunit ribosomal RNA", at positions 779 to 1311 of the family's 1311-position model. The record is from RNAcentral. Lineage: Eukaryota; Metazoa; Arthropoda; Insecta; Diptera; Muscidae.
UAAAAAAUUUGGCGGUAUUUUAGUCUAUUCAGAGGAACCUGUUCUGUAAUUGAUAAUCCACGAUGGACCUUACUUAAAUUUGUAUUCAGUUUAUAUACCGUCGUUAUUAGAAUAUUUUAUAAGAAAAUAAAUUUUCGUAAUUUUUUUAGAAGAAAUUAUAUCAGAUCAAGGUGUAGCUAAUAUUUGAGUAGAAAUGGGUUACAAUAAAUUUAUUUAAACGAAUAUAAAUUUGAAAUGUUUAUUGAAGGUGGAUUUGAUAGUAAAAGUAUAAAGAUUAUUAUUUUGAUUUAAGCUCUAAAAUAUGUACACAUCGCCCGUCACUCUUAUUAUUAAGGUAAGAUAAGUCGUAACAUAGUAGAUGUACUGGAAAGUGUAUCUAGAAUGCAAUUUAAAGCUUAAAUAGUAAAGUAUUUCAUUUACAUUGAAGGGAUUUUUGUGCAAUUCAAUAUAAAUUGAUUAAAUUUUAUUUAUUAGAUUAGUUUUUAUUUUAAAUUUUUUUUAUUAAAAAUAAUUGUAAAAUUGAAUGUUUUAGUAUUUUAUAAAGAAAAAAUAAUUUUAAUUAUAGUUUAAUAGUAUUGUAAAAGAAAAUUGAAAUAAUUGAAAAAUUAUUAUUAUAAAAGAAAAUUUA